ACAAAAACAUCGCCUCUUGCAAAAGCAAAGAAUAAGAGGUCCCGCCUGCCCUGUGACUAUUAGUUUAACGGCCGCGGUAUUUUGACCGUGCAAAGGUAGCGCAAUCACUUGUCUUUUAAAUGAAGACCUGUAUGAAUGGCAUAACGAGGGCUUAACUGUCUCCUCUUUCUGGUCAAUGAAAUUGAUCUCCCCGUGCAGAAGCGGGGAUAAAUCCAUAAGACGAGAAGACCCUAUGGAGCUUUAGACACCAAGGAAGAUCCUGUCAAAACCCACCAAAAAUGGAAAGAACUAAUGGAUACCUCCUUCCCUAAUGUCUUUGGUUGGGGCGACCGCGGGGGAACAAGAAGCCCCCACGUGGAAUGGGAAAACACCUUUCCUACAGCCCAGAGCCACAGCUCGAGGCAACAGAACUUCUGACCAUCAAGAUCCGGCAAAGCCGAUCAACGGACCGAGUUACCCUAGGGAUAACAGCGCAAUCUCCUUUUAGAGCCCAUAUCGACAAGGAGGUUUACGACCUCGAUGUUGGAUCAGGACAUCCUAAUGGUGCAGCUCGCUAUUAAGGGUCCGUUUGUUCAACGGUUAAAGUCCUACGUGAUCUGAGUUCAAACCGGAC
Molecule: ribosomal RNA, 613 nt
Filed under: Pterois volitans (red lionfish)
Lineage: Eukaryota; Metazoa; Chordata; Actinopteri; Perciformes; Scorpaenidae
Description: partial large subunit ribosomal RNA
Rfam family: Bacterial large subunit ribosomal RNA
Source: RNAcentral